ACUGCUCAGUAACACGUGGUCAACUUACACAAGAGUGCGGGAUAUCCCCGGGAAACUGGGGAUAAUACCGGAUAGAUCAUCUUUGCUGGAAGGCUUGGUGGGUGAAACUUACGGAGCUUCUGGAUGGGUUUGCGGCUGAUUAGGUUGUAAUCCGGUGUAACGUACCGUCAAGCCUGUAAUCAGUACGGGUUGUGGGAGCAAGAGACCGGAGAUGGAUUGUGAGUCACGAAUGCAGUCCAUGCGGGGCGCAGCAGGCGCGAAAUCUCUACAAUGCAGGCCACUGCGAUAGGGGAUCAUCGAGUGAUCCUCAUAUUGGGGGUCUGUCCUCCUUUUUAAAAAACGGGUGUUAACAAGGGUCGGGCAAGUUCGGUGUCAAUCAUCGCGGUAAUCCCGGCGGCUCGAGUGGUGGCCGAUAUUAUUGAGUCUAAAGGGUCCGUAGCCGGCUUUGCAAGUCUUUCGGGAACUGCAGCGGCUUAACCGUUGGUCAUCCGGGGGGUACUUCAUUGCUUGGCACUGGGAGAGGUAGGAGGUACUCAGGGGGUAGGAGUGAAAUUCGGUAAUGCUUUGGGGUCCCACGGUGCCGAAGGCGUCUUUUCAGAACAGGUCCGGCGGUGAGGGCCGAAAGCUAGGGGCACGACCCGGAUUAGAUACUCGGGUAGUCCUAGCCGUUACCGAUGCUCGCUAGGUGUCACACCAGUCGUGAAUUGUUGUGGUACCGUAGGGAAGCCGUGAAGCGAGCCACUUGGGAAGUACGACCGCAAGGUGGAAACGUAAAGGAAUUGGCGGGGGACCAGCA
Molecule: ribosomal RNA, 796 nt
Filed under: uncultured archaeon
Lineage: Archaea
Description: bacterial SSU rRNA
Rfam family: Archaeal small subunit ribosomal RNA
Source: RNAcentral